This 400-nucleotide ribosomal RNA is filed under the name uncultured bacterium. RNAcentral describes it as "bacterial SSU rRNA". It matches the Rfam family "Bacterial small subunit ribosomal RNA", at positions 355 to 772 of the family's 1533-position model. The record is from RNAcentral.
UGGGGGAUAUUGCACAAUGGGGGAAACCCUGAUGCAGCGACGCCGCGUGAGGGAAGACGGUUUUCGGAUUGUAAACCUCUGUCUUUGGGGACGAAUUGAGACGGUACCCAAGGAGGAAGCUCCGGCUAACUACGUGCCAGCAGCCGCGGUAAUACGUAGGGAGCAAGCGUUGUCCGGAAUUACUGGGUGUAAAGGGAGCGUAGGCGGGAUAGUAAGUUGAUUGUUAAAACUAUCGGCUCAACUGGUAGAUGCGAUCAAAACUGCAAUUCUUGAGUGAAGUAGAGGCAGGCGGAAUUCCUAGUGUAGCGGUGAAAUGCGUAGAUAUUAGGAGGAACACCAGUGGCGAAGGCGGCCUGCUGGGCUUUAACUGACGCUGAGGCUCGAAAGUGUGGGUAGCAAA